UAGGGAAUCUUCCGCAAUGGACGCAAGUCUGACGGAGCAACGCCGCGUGAGUGAAGAAGGAUUUCGGUUCGUAAAACUCUGUUGUUAGAGAAGAACAGCGCAUAGAGUAACUGUUAUGCGUGUGACGGUAUCUAACCAGAAAGCCACGGCUAACUACGUGCCAGCAGCCGCGGUAAUACGUAGGUGGCAAGCGUUGUCCGGAUUUAUUGGGCGUAAAGCGAGCGCAGGCGGUCAAUUAAGUCUGAUGUGAAAGCCCCCGGCUCAACCGGGGAGGGUCAUUGGAAACUGGUUGACUUGAGUGCAGCAGAGGAGAGUGGAAUUCCAUGUGUAGCGGUCAAAUGCGUAGAUAUAUGGAGGAACACCAGUGGCGAAGGCGACUCUCUGGUCUGUAACUGACGCUGAGGCUCGAAAGCGUGGGUAGCAAACAGG
RNAcentral lists this ribosomal RNA (429 nucleotides) under Bacteroidota bacterium. RNAcentral's name for it is "Bacteroidetes bacterium partial 16S ribosomal RNA". It matches the Rfam family "Bacterial small subunit ribosomal RNA", at positions 355 to 776 of the family's 1533-position model. Lineage: Bacteria; Pseudomonadati; Bacteroidota. The record is from RNAcentral.